This 99-nucleotide non-coding RNA is filed under the name Schnuerera ultunensis. Its description in RNAcentral is "Clostridium ultunense Guanine sequence". It matches the Rfam family "Purine riboswitch aptamer". Rfam says of the family: Riboswitches are metabolite binding domains within certain messenger RNAs that serve as precision sensors for their corresponding targets. Allosteric rearrangement of mRNA structure is mediated by ligand binding, and this results in modulation of gene expression. A class of riboswitches that selectively recognises guanine and becomes saturated at concentrations as low as 5 nM. Lineage: Bacteria; Bacillati; Bacillota; Tissierellia; Tissierellales; Tepidimicrobiaceae. The record is from RNAcentral.
UGACGAACAGAAGGAUAAAUGCGUAUAAGCUUAAGGAUUGGCUUAAGCGUCUCUACCGGCAACCGGAAUUGCCUGGCUACGCAUGAUCGUACCGAAGAG